RNAcentral lists this ribosomal RNA (864 nucleotides) under uncultured archaeon. RNAcentral describes it as "bacterial SSU rRNA". It matches the Rfam family "Archaeal small subunit ribosomal RNA", at positions 21 to 903 of the family's 1478-position model. The record is from RNAcentral.
GGCGACCGCUUUUGGAGUUCGAUUAAGCCAUGCGAGUCGAGAGCCUUAGGGGCUCGGCAUACUGCUCAGUAACACGUGGAUAACCUGCCCUAUUGUCUGGAAUAACCUCGGGAAACUGAGAACAAGGCCGGAUAGCCCACAAUGCCUGGAACGGUUUGUGGGUGAAGAUAGGAUGGGUCUGCGGCGUAUCAGGUCGUAGGGGGUGUAAUGGACCUCCUAGCCAUCGACGCGUACGGGUGUUGGGAGACAUAGCCCGGAGAUGGAUUCUGAGACACGAAUCCAGACCCUACGGGGUGCAGCAGGCGCGAAAACUUCACACUGCAGGAAACUGUGAUGAGGGAACUCCAAGUGCAUGCACUAUGUGUAUGCUUUUCUUAACUAUUAAUCGGUUUUGGAAUAAGGGCUGGGAAAGACCGGUGCCAGCCGCCGCGGUAAUACCGGCAGCUCAAGUGGUCGUCGCUUUUAUUGGGCCUAAAACGUCCGUAGCCUGUUUGGUAAAUCUGUGGGUAAAUCAACCAGCUUAACUGGUUGAAUUCUGCAGAGACUGCCAGACUAGGGACCGGGAGAGGUGUGGGGUACUCUAGGGGUAGGGGUAAAAUCCUGUCAUCCUUAGAGGACCACCAGUUGCGAAGGCGCCACACUGGAACGGAUCCGACGGUCAGGGACGAAGCCUAGGGGCACGAACCGGAUUAGAUACCCGGGUAGUCCUAGGUGUAAACGCUGUGAACUUGGUGUCGGGGAUCCGUAAUGGGUUCUCGGUGCCGGAGUGAAGAUGUUAAGUUCACUGCCUGGGGAGUACGGUCGCAAGGCUGAAACUUAAAGGAAUUGGCGGGGGAGCACUGCAACGGGAGGAGCGUGCGGUUU